RNAcentral lists this long non-coding RNA (427 nucleotides) under Nicotiana benthamiana. Its description in RNAcentral is "long non-coding RNA (NBEN_LNC002368)". The record is from RNAcentral. Lineage: Eukaryota; Viridiplantae; Streptophyta; Magnoliopsida; Solanales; Solanaceae.
UUGGUGACAGGAGGAGUAGGCAAGGGAAGUGCUGCAGGAACCCUAGCUUCCUCAGCCUUGAACGAAGCUUCCAUUGUUGCUGAAACAAUGGAACGCGAAAACUUCGAGAAGUUUCUCUUAUUGACGAAAUUGCUGUGAUGAAUUAAUAAAAAUGCAGAAUCUGAGCGAAAUUUGAAAGAGAGAGAGGAAUUGGUAAAUGGAAGAACGUUACGGUAGCAAGUCGAGAUUCCAGUGGCUUUCAUUUUCAGAGCACUGUUUUUGUGCUAGCACCUGAGUUUACUUGUACGAUUCGUGAAGAAGUCCAGUUCUAUUUUAUUAGCCCCUUUUCUUUGGGAAGAUGGCAAUAAGAUCCCUUAAAUUUUCAAAAAUGUUAUAAAAUAGAAGUCUAUUUAGAGUGAAUGUCUAAGAGUUUUAGCUUAAAGCUAAG